Amphiprion ocellaris (clown anemonefish) is the source of this 2616-nucleotide long non-coding RNA. Lineage: Eukaryota; Metazoa; Chordata; Actinopteri; Pomacentridae. The record is from Ensembl.
UGUAGAACCUGUUCUACAACUUACGUUGCCAUUGUGGUUGAAAAACGACAUGCCAGAACUUGUUGCAAUCCAGUCUCAACAAAGAGCUUGUCUGAUGCUUGCAGGUGUCGAUGGGGUUGCUCAACAAGACGAAUGGACCACUGAAGCCUCCUGACAAAUCUGUGUCCUGUGGCUUUUGGACAAACCAGUUCCUCCAGUGAAGUCAUUUGGAAUAUGAACAAUACCUUUAAGGAUCAACCGAACUCAUAGAACUGCAUGAAAGUCAUCCUGGCUAAUGUGGAGGAAAAGAUGGGUUUUCAUUAUAAAAUGGUGGCCAUUGGUGAUAUUCACACGGUGGUUUUUUUACAGCAUGUGAAGGAAAAAUGCAAAUUGCGUGUUCAGCUGAUGUUAAUCAGUCCCCUUGCUAAAACAUAGGGGUGAAGAUGUGGAGAUAAAAGCCUGAUGAUGUAGAAGUAUGUGUCGUAUUACUGGCCAGCAUAGAGUGUUGGACAUCCACAUUUUCUUCAAAAACAACUUGAAAGCAGAAAAAAAAUUCCCAGGCCAGACUGUCUCUUCGGGUUCAGUAUCAGAGUAAUACUGCUGAGUGGAAUGCAGAGAUUGUGUAUGGGAAUGAAGGAGUUCCGAUGCCCCCCAACCCAGCUCCUGGUGUGGUCGUAGCAGCAGUGCCCAGAUGGAGUCCUGAUGCUCUGUGGCUGCUGAUGGCGGCUGUUGGUGUCUUGAUCCUGCUGGUGGCGCCUUUGGUCCUGAAUGCAGUUCAUUAUUAAUUGUCAAUUGCUAUCAGUUGGCAACUUUUCAAUCACACUUUUCAUCAAUUCGGUCUUUUUGUAUUUCAAUAACUGAAAUUUCUUAGUGUGUCUCCUGCAGUGCUUCAGAUUGCUUAUAUCUAUAGAAUCCUUAAUAUUUUUUUAAAUGUUGAUCCCCUUUUGCAAUAAAAAAUAAAUUAAAAGGGUUAAAAUAUGAUUUAAAGUAAAAGAUUGAGUGAGAUUAAACUGGACUGUCAGUACUCACUCUAAAAAAAGUAGUUCAAUCUGGGAUUUCAUGCUGCAGAAAAUCACUGAUGACUAUCUUUGCUCUGGACAGCAUGUCAAUUAGGAAUCCUAAGGUAAUAAUUACACAUCAUUAGAGCUCACAGAUCAGUGUAGAAAGAGCUAGUAUGAAAUAAAAGAUUGAUUGCUACUGGUAGACAAUCAGUGGCACCAGUCUGUGUGUUGUAUUGUUUGGAUAGAGGAACAAAAAAAAUGGACAGGGUGUAAUUUUUGACCUAUUAGUAUAAAAUAGUUUACAAACUGUAUCAAAGCUACGUGUUAAUGGAUCCAUCCCCACCUACAGUAUUGGCUACAUGCUGUUCAAUGAUUCCAGGCAGUUACUGAAUCUAUUUUGAACAGUAAAAUAAAGCGACAAAACAAACUACAUUUAAAACAUCUAGUAUUUUAAAAAGUGUCUUGAUUCUUGAGUGUGUUUCAUCCACAGUGGAGAACAAAACUAGUGAUGGAUGGUGGUAAAUCAGGUCCAAGAAAAAUUCAGAAAACCAAAGAUUCUUUGCUUUUUUUUGGUUUUGUUUGCAGUGUUUUUCUAUGUUUACCAGUAUAAUUGUCUUUACACAUACAGUAUUGUAUCAUUUCCAGCAAACAAUAAACUGUAAAGCCUGUUGAUUUUGUUUGUACUAAUUUGUUUGUUUGUUCGAUUAACCCUAGGUGGGUGGUACAUGUCAAACAUCCACAUGAAUGUCAGGACUCAAGGUUUCCCAGCAGAACAUUGUAUUAUAACAACAUGAUUGAUGUUGUUCACUUCACCUGUCAGCGGUCAUAAUGUUGUGGCUGAUCAGUGUACAUGAUAUUUACAAGUGGAUGCAAACGUUUGUUAACAACUGUAUAUAAUCACAUGGUUCUCCUUCCUAUUCUCUGCCAUUUUGUUAGAGAUACAUUUGUAUUUUCUCACACAUGGCUCCUUCAGGUGAUGUCUGGAAAAGUUCAGGGCUGCAGUUCAUGUGUGAAAAUGGUUCAGCAGCAAGGAUUAAAGUGAAAAACAGAACUGGCACACGCCCAGAACCCAUAAUGGAAAGGUACCACAUAGUCAAUAUUCUUAGCGUUUACCUUUAUACAAUUGUUGUAAACUAAUGUCAAUGCUCGUUCCAUUUGUUUCACCUUUUCUACUUCUCCUCCUGUUUUUUUCCCACAGAUCUCUGCUGAUCAACAUAUAAUUGUGGGACUUUUUGUAUCAUAGUUGACAUUUUUGCUGUUUUCAGGCCUAAAAUCAACAUGGCCGCCUAUAACCAAACAUCACAUGGUAUUUUACAGAAAGAUUCUUCUAAAUAUUAUAUAUACAAUUGAGUUAAAUUGAAAUUGAAAGUUAGUAGUAAAGAUAUUGUAGUAAACCUGUUGACAUGCCAUAAAUCCACACUUGACUCACACACUACUUUAUAUUAAAUAACUCAGAAAGCCUUGGAGUCUUGUCAGUCUUUUCUUCAGGAGGAAAUGACAUCAUGUGGAGCAGGUCAUGUGAUCUGGAAUUAACACACUUCAGGUGUUUUUGUAAUAGUUGAAAAUGAUUUCUCUGACAUAGACACAAUUGUUAUUUUCCAUAUAAAAUUUGAUAUAUUGCCAAAAAAGAAACAUC